GGAAAUGUGGCUUAGUGGUAAAGUGCUUGUCUCCCACACAUGAAGCCCUGGGUUCGAUUCCUCAGUACCA
Molecule: transfer RNA, 70 nt
Filed under: Dipodomys ordii (Ord's kangaroo rat)
Lineage: Eukaryota; Metazoa; Chordata; Mammalia; Rodentia; Heteromyidae
Rfam family: tRNA
About the family: Transfer RNA (tRNA) molecules are approximately 80 nucleotides in length. Their secondary structure includes four short double-helical elements and three loops (D, anti-codon, and T loops).
Source: Rfam by way of RNAcentral